AGUGAACGCUGGCGGUAGGCCUAACACAUGCAAGUCGAACGGCAGCACAGUAAGAGCUUGCUCUUACGGGUGGCGAGUGGCGGACGGGUGAGGAAUACAUCGGAAUCUACUUUUUCGUGGGGGAUAACGUAGGGAAACUUACGCUAAUACCGCAUACGACCUACGGGUGAAAGCAGGGGAUCUUCGGACCUUGCGCGAUUGAAUGAGCCGAUGUCGGAUUAGCUAGUUGGUGGGGUAAAGGCCCACCAAGGCGACGAUCCGUAGCUGGUCUGAGAGGAUGAUCAGCCACACUGGAACUGAGACACGGUCCAGACUCCUACGGGAGGCAGCAGUGGGGAAUAUGGGACAAUGGGCGCAAGCCUGAUCCAGCCAUACCGCGUGGGUGAAGAAGGCCUUCGGGUUGUAAAGCCCUUUUGUUGGGAAAGAAAAGCAGCAGGUUAAUACCCCGCUGUUCUGACGGUACCCAAAGAAUAAGCACCGGCUAACUUCGUG
Molecule: ribosomal RNA, 492 nt
Filed under: uncultured bacterium
Lineage: Bacteria
Description: partial 16S ribosomal RNA
Rfam family: Bacterial small subunit ribosomal RNA
Source: RNAcentral